This 253-nucleotide ribosomal RNA is filed under the name uncultured bacterium. RNAcentral's name for it is "partial 16S ribosomal RNA". It matches the Rfam family "Bacterial small subunit ribosomal RNA", at positions 524 to 776 of the family's 1533-position model. The record is from RNAcentral.
UACGGAGGGGGCGAGCGUUAUUCGGAAUUAUUGGGCGUAAAGGGCGCGUAGGCGGCUUGAUAAGUCAAAGGUGAAAUCCCUCGGCUCAACUGAGGAACUGCCUUUGAUACUGUCAGGCUUGAGGCCGGGAGGGGGUAGCGGAAUUCCCAGUGUAGCGGUGAAAUGCGUAGAUACUGGGAGGAACACCGGUGGCGAAGGCGGCUACCUGGACCGGUUCUGACGCUGAGGCGCGAAAGCGUGGGUAGCAAACAGG